UAUGGCGUCGCAGUUUCUUUAGUGAACUGCGGCGUGAAUGCGAGUUCCAAGUGGGCCAUUUUUGGUAAGCAGAACUGGCGCUGUGGGAUGAACCAAACGUGGAGUUAAGGUGCCUAACUUCUCGCUUAUGAGACCCCAUAAAAGGUGUUGGUUGAUAUUGACAGCAGGACGGUGGCCAUGGAAGUCGGUACCCGCUAAGGAGUGUGUAACAACUCACCUGCCGAAUCAACUAGCCCUGAAAAUGGAUGGCGCUUAAGCGAGAGACCUAUACUCCGCCGUCGCGGCAUGUGCGUUGUCUAGCGCCAGGUCGCGACGAGUAGGAAGGACGUGGCGGUUGCGUUGAAGGCUAUGAGCGUAGGCUCGGCUGGAGCUUCCGUCAGUGCAGAUCGUAAUGGUAGUAGCAAAUAUUCAAGUUCGAUCCUUGAAGACUGAAGUGGAGAAGGGUUCCGCGUGAACAGUAGUUGGAUGUGGGUCAGUCGAUCCUAAGGUACUGGCGAAAGCCUUGUAUCAUCGGUGGCGAAAAGCUUGCUUUUUGUCCCCGCCCGUCGAAAGGGAAUAGGGUUAAUAUUCCCUAACUGAGAUGCAAAGAUUGUGUUCUUCGGAGCACAAGCGCGGUAACGCGUUCGAACUUGGUAAGUCGCUCAGAGACCGAGCUAGAGUUUUCUUCUCUAGUUAAGGAACGGACUCCCUGGAAUUGGUUCAGCCAGAGAUGGGGACGUUGUUUCCGAAAAGCACCGCGGUUUCUGUGGUGUCUCGUGCUCUCUGAACGGCCCUUUAAACACCAAGGGAGGCUAUUAAUUUGCACUCAAUCGUACCGAUAUCCGCAUUAGGUCUCCAAGGUGAACAGCCUCUAGUCGAUAGAAUAAUGUAGGUAAGGGAAGUCGGCAAACUAGAUCCGUAACUUCGGGAAAAGGAUUGGCUCCAGUGGUCGGAACGGUUGGCCAGUUGGUUGAUGCUUGUCCGGCGCUGUUCUGUCUGCUUGAUGCUUUCGGGCUGAUGGCGGCCUAGUGAUAGUGCUUGCUUGUUGACGCUUUCUGGUGUGUGCUUUGACCUCGGUCUUAGUAUCCUGAUCGUUCAUCUAAACGACUAAACUGGAACCGGUACGGACUCAGGGAAUCCGACUGUCUAAUUAAAACAGAGGUGACAGAUGGUCCUUGCGGACGCUGACUGUCACUG
RNAcentral lists this non-coding RNA (1176 nucleotides) under Caenorhabditis japonica. RNAcentral describes it as "Eukaryotic large subunit ribosomal RNA". It matches the Rfam family "Eukaryotic large subunit ribosomal RNA", at positions 1074 to 2193 of the family's 3401-position model. The record is from Rfam by way of RNAcentral. Lineage: Eukaryota; Metazoa; Nematoda; Chromadorea; Rhabditida; Rhabditidae.